This 62-nucleotide transfer RNA is filed under the name Branchinecta paludosa. Its description in RNAcentral is "tRNA-Leu". The record is from RNAcentral. Lineage: Eukaryota; Metazoa; Arthropoda; Branchiopoda; Anostraca; Branchinectidae.
ACCAUCUUGACAGAUAAAUGUGCUAGAUUUAGGAUCUAUUUAUAGGAUUUUCCUAGAUGGUA